RNAcentral lists this ribosomal RNA (1278 nucleotides) under Haemophilus influenzae. RNAcentral's name for it is "bacterial LSU rRNA". It matches the Rfam family "Bacterial large subunit ribosomal RNA", at positions 1 to 1211 of the family's 2925-position model. Lineage: Bacteria; Pseudomonadati; Pseudomonadota; Gammaproteobacteria; Pasteurellales; Pasteurellaceae. The record is from RNAcentral.
GUUGUAUAGUUAAGUGACUAAGCGUACAAGGUGGAUGCCUUGGCAAUCAGAGGCGAAGAAGGACGUGCUAAUCUGCGAAAAGCUUGGAUGAGUCGAUAAGAGGCGUUUAAUCCAAGAUAUCCGAAUGGGGAAACCCAGUAGAUGAAGAAUCUACUAUCAACAAGUGAAUUCAUAGCUUGUUGAGGCAAACCGGGAGAACUGAAACAUCUAAGUACCCCGAGGAAAAGAAAUCAACCGAGAUUUCGUCAGUAGCGGCGAGCGAAAGCGAAAGAGCCAGUAAGUGAUAGCAGUAUAGUGAGGAGAAUGUGUUGGGAAACACAAUCAAAGAGGGUGAUAAUCCCGUAUCUAAAAACCAUAUUGUGGUACUAAGCUAACGAGAAGUAGGGCGGGACACGUGAUAUCCUGUUUGAAGAAGGGGGGACCAUCCUCCAAGGCUAAAUACUCCUGAUUGACCGAUAGUGAACCAGUACUGUGAAGGAAAGGCGAAAAGAACCCCGGUGAGGGGAGUGAAAUAGAACCUGAAACCUUGUACGUACAAGCAGUGGGAGCCCCAUCACUUAAUCCGAUUGGAAGGUGAUGAAAAGCAACCGCACUUAAACAAUGGUAAGAGGAGCGAAGCGAGUCAAACCACCCAAAAGAAGCAGUGGGAUUAAGUGAUGGGGUGACUGCGUACCUUUUGUAUAAUGGGUCAGCGACUUAUAUUUUGUAGCGAGGUUAACCGAAUAGGGGAGCCGAAGGGAAACCGAGUCUUAACUGGGCGAAGAGUUGCAAGGUAUAGACCCGAAACCCGGUGAUCUAGCCAUGGGCAGGUUGAAGGUUGGGUAACACUAACUGGAGGACCGAACCGACUAAUGUUGAAAAAUUAGCGGAUGACUUGUGGCUGGGGGUGAAAGGCCAAUCAAACCGGGAGAUAGCUGGUUCUCCCCGAAAUCUAUUUAGGUAGAGCCUUGAGGUGACACCUUUGGGGGUAGAGCACUGUUUCGGCUAGGGGUCCAUCCCGGAUUACCAACCCGAUGCAAACUACGAAUACCAAAGAGUGAUACUCAGGAGACACACGGCGGGUGCUAACGUCCGUCGUGGAGAGGGAAACAACCCAGACCGCCAGCUAAGGUCCCCAAGUCUAUAUUAAGUGGGAAACGAAGUGGGAAGGCUUAGACAGCUAGGAUGUUGGCUUAGAAGCAGCCAUCAUUUAAAGAAAGCGUAAUAGCUCACUAGUCGAGUCGGCCUGCGCGGAAGAUGUAACGGGGCUGAAAUAUAGCACCGAAGCUGCGGCAUCAG